RNAcentral lists this ribosomal RNA (468 nucleotides) under uncultured bacterium. Its description in RNAcentral is "partial 16S ribosomal RNA". It matches the Rfam family "Bacterial small subunit ribosomal RNA", at positions 28 to 507 of the family's 1533-position model. The record is from RNAcentral.
GACGAACGCUGGCGGCGUGCUUAAUACAUGCAAGUCGAACGGAAAGGCCCGGCUUUUGCGGGGUGCUCGAGUGGCGAACGGGUGAGUAACACGUGAGUAACCUGCCCUUGACUUUGGGAUAACUUCAGGAAACUGGGGCUAAUACCGCAUAGGAGCUCCUGCUGCACGGGGGUGGAUGGUAAGUUUCGGCGGUUGGGGAUGGACUCGAGGCUUAUCAGCUUGCUGGUGGGGUAGUGGCUUACCAAGGCUUUGACGGGUAGCCGGCCUGAGAGCGUGACCAGCCACAUUGGGACUGGGAUACGGCGCCGACUCCUACGGGAGGCAACGGUGGGGAAUAUUGCACAAUGGGCGGAAGCCUGAUGCAGCAACGCCGCGUGCGGAAUGACGGCCUUCGGGUUGUAAACCGCUUUCGCCUGUGACAAAGCGUGCGUGACGGUAAUGGGUAAGAAAGCACCGGCUAACUACGUG